AUUGAACGCUGGCGGCAGGCUUAACACAUGCAAGUCGAGCGAGCGGCGGACGGGUGAGUAAUGUCUGGGAAAAUGCCUGAUGGAGGGGGAUAACUACUGGAAACGGUAGCUAAUACCGCAUACCAUCAGAUGUGCCAAGAUGGGAGUAGAUAGUAGGUGGGGUAAUGGCUCACCAAGGCGACGAUCCCUAGCUGGUUUGAGAGGAUGACCAGCCAGCCUGGACCGGAGCCACGGUCCAGAAUCCUACGGGAGGCAGCAGUGGGGAAUAUUGCACAAUGGGCGCAAGCCUGAUGCAGCCAUGCCGCGUGUGUGAAGAAGGCCUUCGGGUUGUAAAGCACUUUCAGCGAGGAGGCGUUACUCGCAGAAGAAGCACCGGCUAACUCCGUGCCAGCCGCCGCGGUAAUAC
RNAcentral lists this ribosomal RNA (406 nucleotides) under uncultured bacterium. RNAcentral's name for it is "partial 16S ribosomal RNA". It matches the Rfam family "Bacterial small subunit ribosomal RNA", at positions 30 to 526 of the family's 1533-position model. The record is from RNAcentral.